UUCCCAAACUUUUCUGAAUCUUUAUCCUUGUUCUCUAGAGAUUCCAUGCAAAUUUGUCGGCAUAAAAUGUCUGCGAGCAAACGUAACUUGUGUAUUCGUGAUCAAUGCCGCCAAAAACAGUUGUGCAAUUUCUUUCUCCCGAAUUACAAGCCGGCAUUUUGACUUUGUGUGCCCAAUACUGUACCCGUAGAAUACCAUGGGGACCUAAUUGUUGGCUAAGUUAAUGGCUUGCUUGAGUUUUCAUGCAUGCCUCAUUUUCCCAUGGCCUCAGACGCUUUCAAGUGCGCUCCAGCCAUCUUAACCACUGCAGGAUGAUGAUCGGCCAUAUAUUCUGUUACAAGCUCUUGACUUUCCUGAUUUGUUGACGGAAUUCCAAAUCGUUGUUACACUGAACGUGAGAGGACCGCGCAUAUUUACGUAGUCUACAAUAAUAACCAAAUUUCGAUGCCUAUACACUCCCGGGAAUAUGUGGCCAAAGUACUACUUAUCCUGGACAUCGGUAUAUGGCUGCAGCCAAACGUUACAAUAGCUGUCUCCGGCUCAUGUCCUGUGGAGUGCCGGUGUGAAAAUCGCGACAUAUAUGUCCGACUCCUCAACCACACGCAAACAUCCAGUACAACCAGCUGUUCCAGUCGGAAUUUAAAGCGCAUCCCACGAGAUUUAUCUUCUGACACGGAAGCCAUUCUGCUGAGAAACAAUUCCAUUACGAUGCACGUGGGAAUAAAAAAUGCCGGCAAGAUCCGCCUACUGGACUUAUCGCACAACAUGAUCCAGGGUUUCUUCGGUCGUUUAUCACUGCCCCAUCUGCAGCAUCUCGAUCUGGGUUAUAAUCUAAUCCCACGGGUGUCCAGUGGUGAUAAUGACUUUUUCCAGCUACUGCGCAAUUUACAAACACUCAGCCUGCGGGGCAAUGCCAUACGGACGGUCGAUAGUGAUACGCUCGAUUUACCCCGGCUAAGAGUGCUGGAUUUGGCGGAGAACAGCUUAACCUCCCUGAAAGUGGGCGUAUUUACUAGUUUAUCCCAAUUAACCCACCUGGACGUUGGGCAUAAUAAUCUCAGUGACCUUUGGCUGAAUUUCCUCACUUUGUCCCAUUUGGAUAUUUCCUUCAACCGGAUCACCAGUCUCAAAUGUGAACACCUCAACGCUACCACACUGGACAUUUCCGGCAAUGCGUUUGUUAUUCUGGAUGCCGGCUCACUGCAAGGCAUUGAGACAAAGCACCUCAAUCUGUCGUUUAUGCCGUACUUAUGGAAAAUUGCCUCCUCAGCAUUGAGUGGGAUUUCCGGUGUAAAUACUCUUGAUUUAUCGCACAAUUACAAUCUGACGUUUAUUGAAGACGGAUUUGUGGGAAUGAAUAAUGUCAGUGUAAUGAAUGUGGACAGGAGUAGUAUUGUACAAGUUCCGCUGGACAUUUCCGCUGCGUCCGACAUGACAGCUUCGCUCAUCGGUGUCCCACUUUCCUGCCCAAUCAAUAUAGAUUAUCUUGUACACAGUCAACCGCACAAUGCCACUUGUGUCUGGCAAGGACAGAUCCUCACUGUCCCGGAGUUAACAAGCCAAAAAAACAUGUAUGAUUGGUCUAUCGCGUCACCGCAAAUAAUUCCGACAUUCCCGAAAAUUAUUACCAUGGAUCUGGGCAUGGUCCUGGAAAUCCAGUGUACCGCUUUUCCCUCCACUGCCCGGAUUAAUUGGUUCCGACUGGAUGAGAGACGCAAGAUUGAACAACCCAUGCCCUCUAUUUCGGGAAUGCUGCAGUUGCGACCGUUGAAUUUUGUCAACAGCGGUAAAUACCUGUGUCGCGCGACCAGUGAGUAUGGAGCGGUCAACCGCACCGUACAGGUUAUUGUCACCUAUGCACCGGUGGUCAUCAUCCCGCUGAUGAUAACCCACCAGUACGUGACCUUUGCGUGGAAUAAUUCCGAUCCGUCCAUUGCAUCGCAGUUUCGCGUGCGGUAUUUCGAAUGGAUUGGGGAGAAUUUCACCUUGAUUCGUACGGUGUUUAUGGACCACUUGGUGCGGCGAUAUACAAUUGGCAAUCUGAAAGCCGGUACCUUGUACAAAUUUUGUUUAUAUCUGAAUAAGUCUGGAACGGUGGAAGAACUGGAUUGUAAAAACAUGACGAAGAAAAUGUUGGAUAUAUCUGGGCGUCCCUUUGGAUCGGCGUACGAGCUACUAAUCGUCAUUGGAUGCAUAUCGCAGAUUUCACGAACUGGCCGCUUAAACUGGAUGCGGUAUCAUUGGGCGGUAUAUCCAAAUUAUGGUCAGAUUGCUGUUCCGGUGCCGUUGAUGCUGGAGGCUCAUGCAGCUCAACAUCCUGUCUCGGUUCUUUGGGAGAGGACACAUGUGUGCUGUUCAACAAGUUUGAUUAAAAACCAUAAUACCACAGACUUUGUACGAAGCGCACACUCUAACAAUACAGCUACCGUAGGAAUAUUCAGGUUUACUCAUCGAUCGCAUAAUUGAAUUAACGACGUGCCAUCAUCACCGCGCCGGGCUUUUGUGCACUGGCCCAGGCAUCUUCCGGAGACCAUUUUUGGUUUUUGGAUCGUUGGAAUCGAAAGCCGUGGAUGUAAUAUCGAGCGUUAUGGAUAAUGUCAGCUGAUCCCCUUUAAUUGAUUUCAUCGUCUUCAGUCCAAUAAUCUAUAAUUACAGCUACCUUUAAAGCUGAUUUCAUGUCGGCUACCUCUAAGGACAAGCGAACGUGAUAAUCUUUGAGGCGAGCUGCAACUAUAUAUUGCGUGGAAAUAAUGCCGCUUGUUAAUAUUUUUUUGCGUGCCGGAAGUCCCUCCGAAAAAUCGGCAAAAUACUCGCUAGUCUGAUAACGGUACUGUAUAAAUUGCAGCUGUAAGGCACUUGUCCGCAUUUAAUCUUUCUACGAGGGCAUCUCUAUUUGAUCUUCAUCUUCUACAUGAAGACGACAUCCAAACCCAUCGAAAUCUACUUGCCAGAUACGAAAUUACACAAACGUGACACAAAAGAGGGUUCGAUCUUACGAUGUUCAUACGACAGGAAGUGAGCUGCGAAGAAAACUGUGGAUGGCUUUCGGCAUAGUCCAAGAGAAAUCUGCUGACGAGAUCGAUUUGCUUUUUCCAUGGCGCUAAAAUUAAUAAAAAUUUGCAUUGAUGCAUUUCGUGCACUUGCUCUUAAGUUAUAGCGCUUGAACAGUUUUUGCUUCGUGAUAACUAAGUUAUUUUUGAGGAUUUAAAUGCCUUUCGCAACUGGAAGUUUGGGUCGGCUUUUGUACUUCAUAGCUGCAAAACUACUGUAUCUGUACAGUACUGCUGACAACGAAAUGCCAAUGGAUAUUGGGCUGGGAAUUC
Molecule: RNA transcript, 3323 nt
Organism: Paramacrobiotus metropolitanus
Lineage: Eukaryota; Metazoa; Tardigrada; Eutardigrada; Parachela; Macrobiotidae
Exons: 6
Source: RefSeq, a predicted model, not a curated record